RNAcentral lists this ribosomal RNA (460 nucleotides) under uncultured bacterium. Its description in RNAcentral is "partial 16S ribosomal RNA". It matches the Rfam family "Bacterial small subunit ribosomal RNA", at positions 338 to 795 of the family's 1533-position model. The record is from RNAcentral.
CCUACGGGAGGCAGCAGUGAGGAAUAUUGGUCAAUGGCCGGAAGGCUGAACCAGCCAAGCCGCGUGAAGGACGAAGGUGCCAAGCAUUGUAAACUUCUUUUGUCAAGGGACAAAAUCAGGCUCGAGAGCCUGACCGAGGGUACUUGAAGAAAAAGCAUCGGCUAACUACGUGCCAGCCGCCGCGGUAAUACGUAGGAGGCAAGCGUUCUCCGGAAUGACUGGGCGGAAAGGGGGCGUAGGUGGUUUGACAAGUUGGUAGCGUAACGCCGGAGCUCAACUUCGGAACUACUACCAAAACUGGUGGACUAGAGUGCAGGAGGGGCAACUGGAAUUUCUAGUGUAGCGGUGGAAUGCGUAGAUAUUAGGAAGAACACCGGUGGCGAAGGCGAGUUGCUGGACUGUAACUGACACUGAGGCACGAAAGCGUGGGGAGCAAACAGGAUUAGAUACCCGGGUAGUC